This is a long non-coding RNA of Gossypium arboreum, 1127 nucleotides long. RefSeq lists it as uncharacterized. Lineage: Eukaryota; Viridiplantae; Streptophyta; Magnoliopsida; Malvales; Malvaceae. The record is from RefSeq and is a predicted model, not a curated record. The transcript is spliced from 6 exons.
UUUUACUCAUGCGCGACACUAAAACCCCUAAUUUCUUCCCUUAAAAUCAAUAUCCUCAAAACAACCCCAAUCUCACCCCUCCGUUGCCCUUUUCAAUAAAGAAACUCUCCAACAGCAGCAUCUCCAUUGUCUAGGUGUCUCUUGCUUCCCUGGCGCUGGAGGAAGAGGUGUGGCUGCUCUCUGGCCGAUUAGCAAAGGAGAGUUGCUUCUUAAAGUUCCAAAAUCUGCCUUAAUCACAACUGACUCUCUUCUUUCAAGAGAUGAAACUUCGUCUCUUGCACUCAAAUCCCAUCCUUCUCACUCUUCUACCCAGGUAUUCACUGUUUGUUUGUUAUAUGAAAUCAAUAAAGGAAAGGCUUCUCCAUGGCACCCUUAUUUUUUGCACUUGCCUCGUAGUUAUUCCAUACUCGCCACUUUCGGUGAACUUGAAACCCAAGCCUUGCAAGUGGAUUAUGCCAUCUGGGCUGCUCAGAAAAGUGUCACAAAAGCUAAAUACUAGUGGGAACAAGCCUUCACUCUCAUGAAGGAACUUAAGCUUAAGCCUCUACUUCUCACUUUCAGGGCUUGGAUUUGGGCUACUGGGACUGUUCAGAUUAUUGCUCGGGACAAAAUAUCGCAGACUUCCGGAAAUAUAUGUUAUUUAUGCAAACAUUUCUUAGUAGGAGGAGAUUAAAAUUUUGGAGUGUCAAACAAAUAAUACUAUUUGAAAAGUUCAGAAUUGGAACAAACUGCUGCUUUAAAGUAUCUGUAUGGAUGGUUACGUCAUCACCCAGAGUAUGGUACUCUUGCGCCACUAGAGCUUGGUAAUUCUUUGUAUUAUGCAUAUGCACUAGAUUUGAAGCCAAACUAUGUGCGUGCUUGGGCAAACAUGGGUAUCAGUUAUGCCAACCAGGUUUGAGUUUUUGUUGGAUGCAUGGUUCAGAAUUAGCUGAAUUCAUGCAUUGUGGCGACUUGUUUGAGCUAAUUGCUGAUCUAAAAGUGUGUAUUCUAUCAUUAUUUUGUUCUGAUUGUAUUUUGUUAGAUUUUUGGUGUAGUAUGAUAAGUGCGGUAUUUUGUUUGAUUGUUAUUGAUAAACUUUCUAUUUGGUGGGAUAUAUAUUAUAUCAUAGAUAUUAUUCUUCUUCUCAA